CCAGACUCCUACGGGAGGCAGCAGUGGGGAAUAUUGGGCAAUGGAGGCAACUCUGACCCAGCAACGCCGCGUGAGUGAUGAAGGUCUUCGGAUUGUAAAACUCUUUAAGUGGGGACGAAGAAAGUGACUGUACCCACAGAAUAAGCCUCGGCUAACUACGUGCCAGCAGCCGCGGUAAUACGUAGGUGGCAAGCGUUAUCCGGAUUUACUGGGUGUAAAGGGCGUGUAGGCGGGACUGCAAGUCAGAUGUGAAAAUUAUGGGCUCAACCCAUAACCUGCACUUGAAACUGUAGUUCUUGAGUGAUGGAGAGGCAGGCGGAAUUCCGUGUGUAGCGGUGAAAUGCGUAGAUAUACGGAGGAACACCAGUGGCGAAGGCGGCCUGCUGGACAUUAACUGACGCUGAGGCGCGAAAGCGUGGGGAGCAAACAGGAUUAGAUACCCUUGUA
This 447-nucleotide ribosomal RNA is filed under the name uncultured bacterium. RNAcentral describes it as "bacterial SSU rRNA". It matches the Rfam family "Bacterial small subunit ribosomal RNA", at positions 331 to 792 of the family's 1533-position model. The record is from RNAcentral.